This 404-nucleotide ribosomal RNA is filed under the name Actinomycetes bacterium. RNAcentral describes it as "Actinobacteria bacterium partial 16S ribosomal RNA". It matches the Rfam family "Bacterial small subunit ribosomal RNA", at positions 355 to 776 of the family's 1533-position model. The record is from RNAcentral. Lineage: Bacteria; Bacillati; Actinomycetota; Actinomycetes.
UGGGGAAUAUUGGACAAUGGGCGCAAGCCUGAUCCAGCCAUGCCGCGUGAGUGAUGAAGGCCCUAGGGUUGUAAAGCUCUUUCACCGGUGAAGAUAAUGACGGUAACCGGAGAAGAAGCCCCGGCUAACUUCGUGCCAGCAGCCGCGGUAAUACGAAGGGGGCUAGCGUUGUUCGGAUUUACUGGGCGUAAAGCGCACGUAGGCGGACUAUUAAGUCAGGGGUGAAAUCCCGGGGCUCAACCCCGGAACUGCCUUUGAUACUGGUAGUCUUGAGUUCGAGAGAGGUGAGUGGAAUUCCGAGUGUAGAGGUGAAAUUCGUAGAUAUUCGGAGGAACACCGGUGGCGAAGGCGGCUCACUGGCUCGAUACUGACGCUGAGGUGCGAAAGCGUGGGGAGCAAACAGG